CCUACGGGAGGCAGCAGUGGGGAAUAUUGGACAAUGGGGGGAACCCUGAUCCAGCCAUGCCGCGUGUGUGAAGAAGGCCCUCGGGUUGUAAAGCACUUUCAGUGAGGAAGAACGCCUGGUGGUUAAUACCCAUCAGGAAAGACAUCACUCACAGAAGUAGCACCGGCUAACUCCGUGCCAGCAGCCGCGGUAAUACGGAGGGUGCGAGCGUUAAUCGGAAUUACUGGGCGUAAAGCGCGCGUAGGUGGCUUGAUAAGCCGGUUGUGAAAGCCCCGGGCUCAACCUGGGAACGGCAUCCGGAACUGUCAAGCUAGAGUGCAGGAGAGGAAGGUAGAAUUCCCGGUGUAGCGGUGAAAUGCGUAGAGAUCGGGAGGAAUACCAGUGGCGAAGGCGGCCUUCUGGACUGACACUGACACUGAGGUGCGAAAGCGUGGGUAGCAAACAGGAUUAGAUACCCGAGUAGUC
Molecule: ribosomal RNA, 465 nt
Filed under: Vreelandella stevensii
Lineage: Bacteria; Pseudomonadati; Pseudomonadota; Gammaproteobacteria; Oceanospirillales; Halomonadaceae
Description: partial 16S ribosomal RNA
Rfam family: Bacterial small subunit ribosomal RNA
Source: RNAcentral